This 228-nucleotide long non-coding RNA is filed under the name Pelobates cultripes (western spadefoot toad). Lineage: Eukaryota; Metazoa; Chordata; Amphibia; Anura; Pelobatidae. The record is from RNAcentral.
GAUUUGGAAGCUCUUAUAACUUGCUUAGCCUCUUUCUGCCUAAUCUUAUAGAUCAUUUUGUCUUCCUCACUCUGUUUUUUUUAAUAAUUCCUAAAUGCUAACUUUUUGUUUUUAACUAUUUUGGCCACAUCUGCGGAUUACCACAGUGGUUUCUUGAAUUUUUUGCUUUUACUGACAAGCCUAAUGUAAUUUUCUGUUGCCUUCAAUUGUGCAACUUUUAAAUAAUCC